GGUUAAGCGACUAAGCGUACACGGUGGAUGCCCUGGCAGUCAGAGGCGAUGAAGGACGUGCUAAUCUGCGAUAAGCGUCGGUAAGGUGAUAUGAACCGUUAUAACCGGCGAUUUCCGAAUGGGGAAACCCAGUGUGUUUCGACACACUAUCAUUACGUGAAUACAUAGCGUAAUGAAGCGAACCGGGGGAACUGAAACAUCUAAGUACCCCGAGGAAAAGAAAUCAACCGAGAUUCCCCCAGUAGCGGCGAGCGAACGGGGAGCAGCCCAGAGUCUGAAUCAGCUUGUGUGUUAGUGGAACGGUCUGGAAAGUCCGACGGUACAGGGUGAUAGUCCCGUACACCAAAAUGCACAGGUUGUGAACUCGAAGAGUAGGGCGGGACACGUGGUAUCCUGUCUGAAUAUGGGGGGACCAUCCUCCAAGGCUAAAUACUCCUGACUGACCGAUAGUGAACCAGUACCGUGAGGGAAAGGCGAAAAGAACCCCGGCGAGGGGAGUGAAAAAGAACCUGAAACCGUGUACGUACAAGCAGUGGGAGCCUCUUUAUGGGGUGACUGCGUACCUUUUGUAUAAUGGGUCAGCGACUUAUAUUCUGUAGCAAGGUUAACCGUAUAGGGGAGCCGAAGGGAAACCGAGUCUUAACUGGGCGUUAAGUUGCAGGGUAUAGACCCGAAACCCGGUGAUCUAGCCAUGGGCAGGUUGAAGGUUGGGUAACACUAACUGGAGGACCGAACCGACUAAUGUUGAAAAAUUAGCGGAUGACUUGUGGCUGGGGGUGAAAGGCCAAUCAAACCGGGAGAUAGCUGGUUCUCCCCGAAAGCUAUUUAGGUAGCGCCUCGUGAACUCAUCUUCGGGGGUAGAGCACUGUUUCGGCUAGGGGGUCAUCCCGACUUACCAACCCGAUGCAAACUGCGAAUACCGAAGAAUGUUAUCACGGGAGACACACGGCGGGUGCUAACGUCCGUCGUGAAGAGGGAAACAACCCAGACCGCCAGCUAAGGUCCCAAAGUCAUGGUUAAGUGGGAAACGAUGUGGGAAGGCACAGACAGCCAGGAUGUUGGCUUAGAAGCAGCCAUCAUUUAAAGAAAGCGUAAUAGCUCACUGGUCGAGUCGGCCUGCGCGGAAGAUGUAACGGGGCUAAA
RNAcentral lists this ribosomal RNA (1143 nucleotides) under Citrobacter sp. Cf112. RNAcentral describes it as "partial 23S ribosomal RNA". It matches the Rfam family "Bacterial large subunit ribosomal RNA", at positions 1 to 1185 of the family's 2925-position model. The record is from RNAcentral. Lineage: Bacteria; Pseudomonadati; Pseudomonadota; Gammaproteobacteria; Enterobacterales; Enterobacteriaceae.